Molecule: ribosomal RNA, 1553 nt
Filed under: Staphylococcus aureus
Lineage: Bacteria; Bacillati; Bacillota; Bacilli; Caryophanales; Staphylococcaceae
Also listed under: 2 other names
Description: 16S ribosomal RNA
Rfam family: Bacterial small subunit ribosomal RNA
Source: RNAcentral
UUUAUGGAGAGUUUGAUCCUGGCUCAGGAUGAACGCUGGCGGCGUGCCUAAUACAUGCAAGUCGAGCGAACGGACGAGAAGCUUGCUUCUCUGAUGUUAGCGGCGGACGGGUGAGUAACACGUGGAUAACCUACCUAUAAGACUGGGAUAACUUCGGGAAACCGGAGCUAAUACCGGAUAAUAUUUUGAACCGCAUGGUUCAAAAGUGAAAGACGGUCUUGCUGUCACUUAUAGAUGGAUCCGCGCUGCAUUAGCUAGUUGGUAAGGUAACGGCUUACCAAGGCAACGAUGCAUAGCCGACCUGAGAGGGUGAUCGGCCACACUGGAACUGAGACACGGUCCAGACUCCUACGGGAGGCAGCAGUAGGGAAUCUUCCGCAAUGGGCGAAAGCCUGACGGAGCAACGCCGCGUGAGUGAUGAAGGUCUUCGGAUCGUAAAACUCUGUUAUUAGGGAAGAACAUAUGUGUAAGUAACUGUGCACAUCUUGACGGUACCUAAUCAGAAAGCCACGGCUAACUACGUGCCAGCAGCCGCGGUAAUACGUAGGUGGCAAGCGUUAUCCGGAAUUAUUGGGCGUAAAGCGCGCGUAGGCGGUUUUUUAAGUCUGAUGUGAAAGCCCACGGCUCAACCGUGGAGGGUCAUUGGAAACUGGAAAACUUGAGUGCAGAAGAGGAAAGUGGAAUUCCAUGUGUAGCGGUGAAAUGCGCAGAGAUAUGGAGGAACACCAGUGGCGAAGGCGACUUUCUGGUCUGUAACUGACGCUGAUGUGCGAAAGCGUGGGGAUCAAACAGGAUUAGAUACCCUGGUAGUCCACGCCGUAAACGAUGAGUGCUAAGUGUUAGGGGGGUUUCCGCCCCUUAGUGCUGCAGCUAACGCAUUAAGCACUCCGCCUGGGGAGUACGACCGCAAGGUUGAAACUCAAAGGAAUUGACGGGGACCCGCACAAGCGGUGGAGCAUGUGGUUUAAUUCGAAGCAACGCGAAGAACCUUACCAAAUCUUGACAUCCUUUGACAACUCUAGAGAUAGAGCCUUCCCCUUCGGGGGACAAAGUGACAGGUGGUGCAUGGUUGUCGUCAGCUCGUGUCGUGAGAUGUUGGGUUAAGUCCCGCAACGAGCGCAACCCUUAAGCUUAGUUGCCAUCAUUAAGUUGGGCACUCUAAGUUGACUGCCGGUGACAAACCGGAGGAAGGUGGGGAUGACGUCAAAUCAUCAUGCCCCUUAUGAUUUGGGCUACACACGUGCUACAAUGGACAAUACAAAGGGCAGCGAAACCGCGAGGUCAAGCAAAUCCCAUAAAGUUGUUCUCAGUUCGGAUUGUAGUCUGCAACUCGACUACAUGAAGCUGGAAUCGCUAGUAAUCGUAGAUCAGCAUGCUACGGUGAAUACGUUCCCGGGUCUUGUACACACCGCCCGUCACACCACGAGAGUUUGUAACACCCGAAGCCGGUGGAGUAACCUUUUAGGAGCUAGCCGUCGAAGGUGGGACAAAUGAUUGGGGUGAAGUCGUAACAAGGUAGCCGUAUCGGAAGGUGCGGCUGGAUCACCUCCUUU